RNAcentral lists this small RNA (105 nucleotides) under Marmota monax (woodchuck). Lineage: Eukaryota; Metazoa; Chordata; Mammalia; Rodentia; Sciuridae. The record is from RNAcentral.
GUCAGGGACAAUGGCACAUGCCUGUAAUCCAAGCUACUGGGAGGCUGAGGCAGGGUGAUUGCAGGUUUGAGGCCAGCCUGGGAAUUUAGUGAGACCCUGUUUCAA